GGGGCUGCUGCUCAGUGGCAGAGCAUCUGCUUUCCAUGCAGAUGGUCCUAGGUUCAAUUGCUGGCAUCUCCA
RNAcentral lists this transfer RNA (72 nucleotides) under Sphaerodactylus townsendi. Its description in RNAcentral is "tRNA-Gly". It matches the Rfam family "tRNA". Rfam says of the family: Transfer RNA (tRNA) molecules are approximately 80 nucleotides in length. The record is from RNAcentral. Lineage: Eukaryota; Metazoa; Chordata; Lepidosauria; Squamata; Sphaerodactylidae.